This 591-nucleotide ribosomal RNA is filed under the name Conus immelmani. RNAcentral's name for it is "partial 12S ribosomal RNA". It matches the Rfam family "Microsporidia small subunit ribosomal RNA", at positions 391 to 1205 of the family's 1311-position model. The record is from RNAcentral. Lineage: Eukaryota; Metazoa; Mollusca; Gastropoda; Neogastropoda; Conidae.
UGCCAGCAGUCGCGGUUAAACCAAGAAAUUUAGUCAUUCUUUUAUGGUAAAAAGACAGUUAGGCAAAGAAAAAAUAAAUGAUCAUUAGAUCUUUAGUAUAGGAGUAAAAUCUAAAUACUAAAAGUUAUAUCAGGCAUGGUUUAUUUAGGGUGCUGAAUCUGUGAUAGCUUCAAGGGAAACUGGGAUUGGAUACCCCAUUAUUUUUGGCUGUAAAUUUAGUUUAAAUUUACCAGAGUACUACGAAUAAAAGGUUUAAAACUCAAAGGGCUUGGCGGUGUUUUAGACCUCUCAGGGGAACCUGUCUCGUAAUCGACAAUCCGCGUUAAACCUAACCUUUUAUGGUAAUACAGCCUGUAUACCGUCGUCGUCAGGUAACUUUUUAAAAUAUAAUAGUUGGCUUGAAAAUCGAAUUAAUUAAAACGUCAGAUCAAGGUGCAGCUAAUAAAGAGGUGAGGAUGGGUUACAAUUACAUAUUUGUAAUUACGGAGAAUACUUGAAAUGAAGUGUUUUAAAGGAGGACUUGAAAGUAAUUCUAAUUAUAUAAAUAGGAUGAAUAGGGCUCUGAAACGUGCACACAUCGCCCGCCACUCU